UACAGAGGUCCCGAGCGUUGUUCGGAUUCACUGGGCGUAAAGGGUGCGUAGGUGGCGUGGUAAGUUUGAUGUGAAAGCUCAGGGCUUAACCCUGAAAUGGCAUUGAAUACUACUGUGCUGGAGGUUUGGAGGGGGGACUGGAAUUCUUGGUGUAGCAGUGAAAUGCGCAGAUAUCAGGAGGAACACCAGCGGCGAAGGCGGCGCUCUGGGCCGGUACUGACACUGAGGAGCGAAAGCGUGGGUAGCAAACCGG
This 253-nucleotide ribosomal RNA is filed under the name uncultured bacterium. Its description in RNAcentral is "partial 16S ribosomal RNA". It matches the Rfam family "Bacterial small subunit ribosomal RNA", at positions 524 to 776 of the family's 1533-position model. The record is from RNAcentral.